AUCUCAUCUAGCUCUCUCACUAUCACUCUGUCUUUCUCUUUUGUCCCCUUUUUUAUCCCCUUUCUCUCUAUUCCUCUGUCUCGGCCUGCUUGCUCACUUCACAGCAGGGAGGAUGAUGGAGUGACGGCAGUUGGUGAAAGGUGGAGAAACAAGCAGGCUUGACGCAGGCUGCGUUCUGCAAGUGUGGGAGUCUGUGGGAGUGUGUGGGUUAAGCAGCUGGAUGCUGCAGACUAAAUUCAUUUCCAGCCAGAUGACAAACGACCCUGUCAGCCUGGUGACUGCCAUCCACACACAAGCUCCAACAGACACAGUGGAGUCCAGCCUGCCUCGGUAUUACCUACAGCAUCCACAUCUCUGAGUCUCUCCUGUUUGUAAAGGCACACUGCUGUCAAUAGCAAUAAAGCCUGGAUCCAGCACUGCGUUUCCUCCUGAAG
This is a long non-coding RNA of Colossoma macropomum (tambaqui), 434 nucleotides long. RefSeq lists it as uncharacterized. NCBI's taxonomy places the organism in Eukaryota, Metazoa, Chordata, Actinopteri, Characiformes, Serrasalmidae. The record is from RefSeq and is a predicted model, not a curated record. The transcript has 3 exons.